CCUACGGGUGGCAGCAGUGGGGGAUAUUGCACAAUGGGGGGAACCCUGAUGCAGCGACGCCGCGUGGGUGAAGAAGCGCCUCGGCGCGUAAAGCCCUGUCUGCAGGGAAGAAAAUGACGGUACCUGACGGAUCCUCCCCGUCUACAUACGUUCCAGCAGCCGCGGUACUACGUAGGGGGCAAGCGUUAUCCGGAUUUACUGGGUGUAAAGGGGGCGCAGACGGCGAUGCAAGCCAGGAGGGAAAGCCCGGGGCCCCACCCCGGGACUGCGCUUGGAACUGCGUGGCUGGAGUGCAGGAGGGGCAGGCGGAAUUCCUGGUGUAGCGGUGAAAUGCGUAGAUAUCAGGAGGAACACCGGUGGCGAAGGCGGCCUGCUGGACUGCAACUGACGUUGAGGCCCGAAAGCGUGGGGAGCAAACAGGAUUAGAUACCCGAGUAGUC
This 440-nucleotide ribosomal RNA is filed under the name uncultured bacterium. Its description in RNAcentral is "partial 16S ribosomal RNA". It matches the Rfam family "Bacterial small subunit ribosomal RNA", at positions 338 to 795 of the family's 1533-position model. The record is from RNAcentral.